This 60-nucleotide microRNA precursor is filed under the name Mytilus galloprovincialis (Mediterranean mussel). Lineage: Eukaryota; Metazoa; Mollusca; Bivalvia; Mytilida; Mytilidae. The record is from RNAcentral.
UCCUUAUUCAAACUGGUUGUGUUGUGGUUUUAUUUCAUCACAACCUCCUUGAAUGAGAUU